CUUAAUGAUGAGAAGAGGGUCGAAUGACCUCGGUGAUUGGCGCUGGAAAUUCUGAAC
RNAcentral lists this small nucleolar RNA (57 nucleotides) under Candidatus Aramenus sulfurataquae. RNAcentral's name for it is "Sulfolobales archaeon AZ1 Small nucleolar RNA sR20". It matches the Rfam family "Small nucleolar RNA sR20". Lineage: Archaea; Thermoproteati; Thermoproteota; Thermoprotei; Sulfolobales; Sulfolobaceae. The record is from Rfam by way of RNAcentral.